AGCAGCCGCGGUAAUUCCAGCUCCAAUAGCGUAUAUUAAAGUUGUUGCAGUUAAAAAGCUCGUAGUUGAAUUUCGGGGUUAGUAGGCUGGUCAUGCCAACGGUAUGUACUGGUCUCACUGAUUCCUCCUUCCUGACGAACCUUAAUGCCAUUAAUUUGGUGUUUUUGGGAAAUUUGGACUGUUACUUUGAAAAAAUUGGAGUGUUUAAAGCAAGCUAACGCUUGAAUACAUUAGCAUGGAAUAAUGAAAUAGGACGUUCGAUCCUAUUUUGUUGGUUUCUAGGAUUGACGUAAUGAUUAAUAGGGAUAGUUGGGGGCAUUAGUAUUCAAUUGUCAGAGGUGAAAUUCUUGGAUUUAUUG
This 359-nucleotide small RNA is filed under the name uncultured Rhizophagus. RNAcentral's name for it is "SSU rRNA". It matches the Rfam family "Eukaryotic small subunit ribosomal RNA", at positions 569 to 931 of the family's 1831-position model. The record is from RNAcentral. Lineage: Eukaryota; Fungi; Glomeromycota; Glomeromycetes; Glomerales; Glomeraceae.